This 389-nucleotide ribosomal RNA is filed under the name uncultured Nitrospina sp. RNAcentral's name for it is "bacterial SSU rRNA". It matches the Rfam family "Bacterial small subunit ribosomal RNA", at positions 29 to 410 of the family's 1533-position model. The record is from RNAcentral. Lineage: Bacteria; Pseudomonadati; Nitrospinota; Nitrospinia; Nitrospinales; Nitrospinaceae.
AACGAACGCUGGCGGUGUGCUUAACACAUGCAAGUCGAACGAGAAAGUUUCCUUCGGGAAGCGAGUAAAGUGGCGCAAGGGUGAGUAACACGUGAAUAAUCUACCCCCGAGACUGGGAUAACCUGGUGAAAACUGGGCUAAUACCGGAUAAGACCACGUCCCGCAAGGGAUGCGGGAAAAGGAGGCUCAACCUCCACUUGGAGAUGAGUUCGCGGACCAUUAGCUUGUUGGUGAGAUAACAGCUCACCAAGGCUACGAUGGAUAGCCGGCCUGAGAGGGUGAACGGCCACAUUGGGACUGAGACACGGCCCAGACUCCUACGGGAGGCAGCAGUGGGGAAUCUUGCACAAUGGGGGAAACCCUGAUGCAGCGAUGCCGCGUGAGUGAAG